This is a non-coding RNA of Otolemur garnettii (small-eared galago), 45 nucleotides long. The record is from Rfam. NCBI's taxonomy places the organism in Eukaryota, Metazoa, Chordata, Mammalia, Primates, Galagidae.
CUAAAGGAUUUUUUAAAACCCACCAAGAAAAAUUGAGAGAUUUUU